RNAcentral lists this long non-coding RNA (929 nucleotides) under Leguminivora glycinivorella. RNAcentral describes it as "uncharacterized LOC125237251". Lineage: Eukaryota; Metazoa; Arthropoda; Insecta; Lepidoptera; Tortricidae. The record is from RNAcentral.
GGACAUUUGCGAAUUAUAUUUGGAUUCAAAGUAAAAUAAACUUAUAUACGUGUUAGUUCCUUAAAGCAACAAAUGAACUACGUAACUUUGUGACCCAUGGUGUUAUUUUGUUCCCGCAAAACGUAUAAAUAGUGGUGUCAAAUUAGUCAACGCGGUCAAAGGCGGAACAAGAAGUUUCUAGUUCGGCUACAAUCUGCAUAUUCGGACAAAUCGACAAGUAAAUACUAAGAAUUUGUAGCAACAGGCAACUAGAUGAAAUACCACAAUGACUACAAGGAAGUGAGGAAGAUAACAGAAUCGCAAUGCAAAUACGACAAUCAAAGUGGAUUUGAAUAACUAGAAAGUUGAAAAGAAGUUGAAAGCUGGUGUUGGUUUGUUAAACCUGUGACUCUUAACUGGACAAACUCAUUUCAAUGUACCAGAAUGAACCCCAAACUGAACCCGUACCUGGUCAGACAAGAAGGAACUCCCCGGCACCUGUCAAUUAUUAUCUCUGCAGUCCUAACUUCUUUGAAGAGAGAAAUGAAAUAAUGCAAGCAAUGUUUUUGACUGGAAGCUGCAGAAUGCAAGCCGUGGCCCCGGGCACCCUGUCCACUCAUAGAAGCAGUCCAUCAAAAAUGAGCUACAAGCGGCUGAUUUGAGCUUGAGCGAAGCCUCAAGAGUCACUCAAGAUAGGAAGGCGUGGCGCGAGCUUAUGAAAGCCCUUUGCACCUCUAGUGCCUUAGGACUACAACAACAGUCCUGACUUCAGAAUGUUGGUGUCUACAAGUGUUUGCCUGUCUACCCCAGUCUACCAGAAAAACCCUGUCAUGAGUAUGGGUUGUGAGUCUAUCACUUCCAGUCUACAAACUGUGUAUGCUGCGAAAAUAACUUCAUGACUAAUUUAUUUAUGUGAUGUGUAUAGCUAAAUGUAUUAUUUGUUGAAUAAA